RNAcentral lists this unclassified non-coding RNA (269 nucleotides) under Irpex laceratus. RNAcentral describes it as "Emmia lacerata partial internal transcribed spacer region". The stretch from base 1 to 46 matches the Rfam family "Eukaryotic small subunit ribosomal RNA", at positions 1786 to 1831 of the family's 1831-position model. Lineage: Eukaryota; Fungi; Basidiomycota; Agaricomycetes; Polyporales; Irpicaceae. The record is from RNAcentral.
AAGUCGUAACAAGGUUUCCGUAGGUGAACCUGCGGAAGGAUCAUUAUCGAGUUUUGAACGGGUUGUAGCUGGCCUCUAACGAGGCAUGUGCACACCUGGCUCAUCCACUCUCAACCUCUGUGCACUUUAUGUAAGAAACGGUGUAAGCCAGCUAUUUAAUAGUUGGUAACAAGCCUUUCUUAUGUUUACUACAAACGCUUCAGUUAUAGAAUGUUUACUGUGUAUAACACAAUUAUAUACAACUUUCAGCAACGGAUCUCUUGGCUCUC